This 403-nucleotide ribosomal RNA is filed under the name uncultured bacterium. Its description in RNAcentral is "bacterial SSU rRNA". It matches the Rfam family "Bacterial small subunit ribosomal RNA", at positions 30 to 432 of the family's 1533-position model. The record is from RNAcentral.
AUUGAACGCUGGCGGCAUGCCUUACACAUGCAAGUCGAACGGCAGCACGGGAGCAAUCCUGGUGGCGAGUGGCGAACGGGUGAGUAAUAUAUCGGAACGUGCCCAGUCGUGGGGAUAACGUAGCGAAAGCUACGCUAAUACCGCAUACGAUCUAUGGAUGAAAGCGGGGGAUCGCAAGACCUCGCGCGAUUGGAGCGGCCGAUAUCAGAUUAGGUAGUUGGUGAGGUAAAGGCUCACCAAGCCGACGAUCUGUAGCUGGUCUGAGAGGACGACCAGCCACACUGGGACUGAGACACGGCCCAGACUCCUACGGGAGGCAGCAGUGGGGGAAUUUUUGGGACAAUGGGCGCAAGCCUGAUCCAGCAAUGCCGCGUGCAGGAUGAAGGCCUCGGUUGGUAACGUA